This 492-nucleotide ribosomal RNA is filed under the name uncultured bacterium. Its description in RNAcentral is "partial 16S ribosomal RNA". It matches the Rfam family "Bacterial small subunit ribosomal RNA", at positions 28 to 507 of the family's 1533-position model. The record is from RNAcentral.
GAUGAACGCUAGCUACAGGCUUAACACAUGCAAGUCGAGGGGAAACGGCAUUAAGUGCUUGCACUUUUUGGACGUCGACCGGCGCACGGGUGAGUAACGCGUAUCCAACCUUCCCAUGACUAAGGGAUAACCUGCCGAAAGGCAGACUAAUACCUUAUGGUCUUCACUGACGGCAUCAGAUGUGAAGUAAAGAUUUAUCGGUUAUGGAUGGGGAUGCGUCUGAUUAGCUUGUUGGCGGGGUAACGGCCCACCAAGGCAACGAUCAGUAGGGGUUCUGAGAGGAAGGUCCCCCACAUUGGAACUGAGACACGGUCCAAACUCCUACGGGAGGCAGCAGUGAGGAAUAUUGGUCAAUGGGCGAGAGCCUGAACCAGCCAAGUAGCGUGCAGGAUGACGGCCCUAUGGGUUGUAAACUGCUUUUGUAUGGGGAUAAAGUCAAUCACGUGUGAUUGUUUGCAGGUACCAUACGAAUAAGGACCGGCUAAUUCCGUG